Molecule: transfer RNA, 75 nt
Filed under: Gammaproteobacteria bacterium
Lineage: Bacteria; Pseudomonadati; Pseudomonadota; Gammaproteobacteria
Also listed under: 3 other names
Description: tRNA-Val
Rfam family: tRNA
About the family: Transfer RNA (tRNA) molecules are approximately 80 nucleotides in length. Their secondary structure includes four short double-helical elements and three loops (D, anti-codon, and T loops). Further hydrogen bonds mediate the characteristic L-shaped molecular structure. tRNAs have two regions of fundamental functional importance: the anti-codon, which is responsible for specific mRNA codon recognition, and the 3' end, to which the tRNAs corresponding amino acid is attached (by aminoacyl-tRNA synthetases). tRNAs cope with the degeneracy of the genetic code in two manners: having more than one tRNA (with a specific anti-codon) for a particular amino acid; and 'wobble' base-pairing, i.e. permitting non-standard base-pairing at the 3rd anti-codon position.
Source: RNAcentral
AGGCGCGUAGCUCAGUGGUAGAGCACUACCUUGACAUGGUAGGGGUCGGUGGUUCGAUCCCACUCGCGCCUACCA